Nicotiana tabacum (common tobacco) is the source of this 1663-nucleotide non-coding RNA. NCBI's taxonomy places the organism in Eukaryota, Viridiplantae, Streptophyta, Magnoliopsida, Solanales, Solanaceae. The record is from RefSeq and is a predicted model, not a curated record.
UCUAUUGGAAAUAACCUCUCUACCUUCAUUAGGUAUGGGUAAGGUCUGCGUACAGACUACCCUCCCCAAACCCCACAUGUUAGAAAUAUACUGGUAUAUAUGUUGUUGUUGUUUGUAUAUAUACUCGUACAUUCCUGAUUAAGACGUAGUAGUUGUUAUAUACUCGUGGCAUUUCUUUUCCAUUUUUCUUUUCGAAGUCUAUUUAUGCUUGAAACCCCCUAGAACUAAUGAGAGGAUAGCUUUAAAAAAGAAUAACAAAUGUGAAAUGGCUAGUGAAAAUUCAUAUAGACCGCCCUGACUAACUUAAAAGUGAGGCUUAAUUGUUGUUGCUGCUGUUAUCGUUGUAAUAACGAGAGAAAAUUAAGAACAACCUACACGUGUCCAGUUAAAACAAAAUCACUUUUACACCUCCAAAAAUCUGUUGGAACCACAGAGGGAAAAAAAGAUGAAUUACAAACUCCUAUGUUCCCUUUUUAGAUAUUUCUGCAAAAAAAAAAAAAAAAGACUAAAAAUGUGAAAAUUAAAUGCUUGUGUUCAAGUUUUAGAAAGAUUGAAAAUUUGUAGUUUGUUAACAAUUAUUGGCCUAAGAAGUGAAUUUCCUAUGCCAAACAUAUUCAAAAGUUGUAUCAGUAACGUAACCUGGAAAACAAAAUAAAUAUAACAUGUUACUACUACGUAUCAGAUAAUUUGCAUUGGCAGUUUAACAAUCUUUAUAUAUGCUGUGUGUAUACAACUUAAAUCUGUAGAAAGGUACCAAAAUGACAAAAAUCAACCUAAAAAGAUACGCAUAUAUAACUUUCCUAUGGAUAAUGUGGGCUCGGAUAAAGCAUUUGAAAGAAGACCCUUUACUAGGAAACUUAGCGUCAAAGCUAAUUCUGUAUGUAAAUUAUUAAAAUUGUUUAAUUGUUUUGAUAAAGUUGUCUCCGUAUAACCUAUACGUCACGGAUUUGAGCCAUGAAAGCAAGUACUAAUGCUUGUAUUAGGGUAGGAUGUCUACAUCACACCUCUUUAGGAUAUGAUUCUUCCACGGACCUUGUGCAAAUGCAAAAUAUUUUAUGUACCGAGUUAUAUAUAUAUAUAUAUAUAUAUAUAUAUAUAUAUAUUUGGUGUCAAUGGCAAAGGACAAUGGCCAUAUAGGAGUAGAAAUUUCCUUCACCUGGGUGUAGUAUUUAACUUUUGUUUUAGCCAAAGGGGAAAUCAUAAGAAGAUGAAAAGAGUAGAAAAAGAUAAAAGAAGCUAUAAAUAAGAGAUACUAAAAGAUAGCUUUUCUGUUUUCUCAGUCUCACUUUUUCUUUCUUUUGCAUGCAUGGCCUCCACUAAUUGAAAAUAUUCUCUUGAAAAUUGGCAAUAUUUGUGUUAUAUAGCAGGGAAAGUUGGCAGUUGCAUGGCAAACAAGGAGAUUAUCCAGGAAACAUACCUUCUCUAGAGCAGAAAGAUAAUAUUGAAGCAAAAUGCUUAAGCUAUGAGGGAAUAUCAGCAGAAGUGAGCUCAUCAACUAUAACAGAAGCAAGUCCAGAGAAGCCUAAUUUGGAGUUCACUUUGGGAAUAAGGCCUAAUAUUUCAUAGUACUAAAAAAGAAAGCAAAAGUACUACUCAUUUUGAAAUCAUUAUAUACUUUUUGAUUUUGACUAGUGAGAGUAGUAAAAAGAACCAAAAAAAAAAA